UUUAUUACAAUAUAUUGAGCCUUUCUUUAAACCAUCCUGUUUUCUGCAAUUGGUAUAAAACAUGCUACACAUAUUUCAAAUGUUAGAAAAUGUGGCCAUUUAGAGGAACGUGGUAGAACAAUCAGUUGCAAAUUUUGCCUGGAAAUGACUGUAAAGCAGUACAAUGCUGUGUCCAAUAUAUAGUCAAAUUCACACAGGAAGUACUGGUAACUUUCCUCAAAAUGACAGCAGGAGCCUGCUUUCUGAACAUAGUAAAAUAUUAUUAGCUCGAGGGACAGGAGGUGUAAGUGAAAAUGUAUAACAUUUACAGUGGGUGAAUGAAAAUGGCUCUGAAAGCAGCUCUCUCACCUUCAGUGGUCUUUGCAUAUUUGAUAAUGAUCCCCUAAUGUCAUGAUUCUGAGCAGGUCAUAUAUGAGACUUUGGCCCGAGUUACCAAUAGUAUCUUAAUUGCUGAAUUUGGACAUAAAAGAAUAAACAGGAUAUCUGAUAACUGAAAUUAUAGGAAAGAGAAAGAGAAAACAGAAAUAAAGGAAAUUAGGCAACAUGCCCUAAAUAUAAUAUAAACAGGAAUGCAAGUAAAUAAUAAGAACCUAUAGAUAAAGGUAUAGGUUAAAAUAGGACAACUAAAAUCGAACAGAACAAUAAGGUUGCAGAAUUACAGGAAAAGGAGAAAUUUAGUUAGUAAGCCCCCCUAUUUGAAGGAGUAUUGCUCAAGUAGGAAAUUAACACCAUGUAAUAUUACUUUGAGGCAAAGUCCAGAGUGGUGUUAUGCAGGCAGUUAUAGGGCAGAGAGGUUGUAUGGAUUAAGCAGGUAUAAAUCAGGAUGGCAGAAUAAAGCUGGAUAGUUGUGAAGUUCAGAUUGGUAUUGUGCAGAUUGGAAGUCAAGCAGGAAUGCAGAGUUGGUCAGGCUGGUAUGGAGCAGGUUUGAAGCCAAGACGGUAAGUCCACAGGAGCCAGGAUCUGAAGUGUUUCAGGCAAAUCAACAACUUCAAUGUAAAGGCCAUGUGGUGAGUUGGGUGUAGCGUUUUGUAGGAUCUUAAUAAGUCCAGGCAGAUGAGGAUGAUAAGGGGAGUUUCCAGAACUAGAGGCAAGGGAGGCCACUAGU
This is a long non-coding RNA of Pelobates fuscus (common spadefoot toad), 1105 nucleotides long. RefSeq lists it as uncharacterized. The record is from RefSeq and is a predicted model, not a curated record. NCBI's taxonomy places the organism in Eukaryota, Metazoa, Chordata, Amphibia, Anura, Pelobatidae. The transcript is spliced from 2 exons.